Molecule: ribosomal RNA, 512 nt
Filed under: Fusarium sp. CFEF017
Lineage: Eukaryota; Fungi; Ascomycota; Sordariomycetes; Hypocreales; Nectriaceae
Description: partial 18S ribosomal RNA
Rfam family: 5.8S ribosomal RNA (bases 183-336)
Source: RNAcentral
CCUUUCGUUAGGGGGACCUGCGGAGGGAUCAUUACCGAGUUUACAACUCCCAAACCCCUGUGAACAUACCACUUGUUGCCUCGGCGGAUCAGCCCGCUCCCGGUAAAACGGGACGGCCCGCCAGAGGACCCCUAAACUCUGUUUCUAUAUGUAACUUCUGAGUAAAACCAUAAAUAAAUCAAAACUUUCAACAACGGAUCUCUUGGUUCUGGCAUCGAUGAAGAACGCAGCAAAAUGCGAUAAGUAAUGUGAAUUGCAGAAUUCAGUGAAUCAUCGAAUCUUUGAACGCACAUUGCGCCCGCCAGUAUUCUGGCGGGCAUGCCUGUUCGAGCGUCAUUUCAACCCUCAAGCACAGCUUGGUGUUGGGACUCGCGUUAAUUCGCGUUCCCCAAAUUGAUUGGCGGUCACGUCGAGCUUCCAUAGCGUAGUAGUAAAACCCUCGUUACUGGUAAUCGUCGCGGCCACGCCGUUAAACCCCAACUUCUGAAUGUGACCUCGGAUCAGAGAUGCCG